UACGUAGGGUGCGAGCGUUGCCCGGAUUUAUUGGGCGUAAAGGGCGCGUAGGCGGCCACGCACGUCCGUUGUGAAAUCGCCCGGCUCAACUGGGCGGGGUCAGCGGAUACGGUGUGGCUCGAGCAAGCUAGGGGGCAAUGGAAUUCCCGGUGUAGUGGUGGAAUGCGUAGAUAUCGGGAGGAACACCAGUGGCGAAGGCGGUUGCCUGGAUCGCAACUGACACUGAGGAACGAAAGCUAGGGGAGCAAACAGG
This 253-nucleotide ribosomal RNA is filed under the name uncultured bacterium. Its description in RNAcentral is "partial 16S ribosomal RNA". It matches the Rfam family "Bacterial small subunit ribosomal RNA", at positions 524 to 776 of the family's 1533-position model. The record is from RNAcentral.